CUUCCAGUAGCACCUUAGAGACCAACUAAGUUUGUUGUUGGUAUGAGCUUUCGUGUGCAUGCACACUUCUUCAGAUACCAAUAACAAACUUAGUUGGUCUCUAAGGUGCCACUGGAAG
Molecule: non-coding RNA, 118 nt
Organism: Podarcis lilfordi (Lilford's wall lizard)
Lineage: Eukaryota; Metazoa; Chordata; Lepidosauria; Squamata; Lacertidae
Source: the annotation of a GenBank genome assembly